Metarhizium anisopliae BRIP 53293 is the source of this 72-nucleotide transfer RNA. It matches the Rfam family "tRNA". From Rfam's summary of the family: Transfer RNA (tRNA) molecules are approximately 80 nucleotides in length. The record is from Rfam. Lineage: Eukaryota; Fungi; Ascomycota; Sordariomycetes; Hypocreales; Clavicipitaceae.
GCCUAGAUAGUUUAACGGUUAAAACACCGACCUCAUAUGUUGGUAAUAAAAGUUCGAUUCUUUUUCCAGGCU